CAUUAUAAUCGGCAACAAAAUGCACAGUAUUUCACCCAUACUUGGUCCUAAGACAGUGGAUGUGCUCACACGGGAAAAUCAGGGAAUAACUACAACACAAAAAGGCCCAUCAAUGCCAGUGAGACUCCAUCCUGUGUUGAUAAUAUACUAACUGGAGCACUGUGCCACAGGAAGCCUGACAUUCCCAUUUCUGCCCCAAACUAGACAAUUUCUAGAAGAAAUAUCAAGCAAUACAUUGUUUGCCUGCAAAGCCUGGGUCACCCUGUUGUCAAAUUACAAGAUUCAAGGACUGAAAACUUACCAUUUUUGCAAAUGGUGCAAGAGAUGCAGCAAGGAUUGAGUUUUUCAGGACCUGAGGCAUCUCUGAAUAACCAGUUUUUGAGUCGGACAAAUACAAUGUGAAGCCAAGAUGUUGAAGAUGCUUUCCCCUGGAAUGGGGAACCACUUAUGUUCUGCCACAGAGACUCCUGUGAUGUCAGGGAGGAGCAGGCAGCCAUGAAUCAGCAGUUCCCAACCUGGGCCUGGUGUAAGUCAUGGAAGCUGAUGCCAUCCACAAAGAGAUGUGGAUCAUCACAGACUUCUUUUGGAUGCUUAUUAGAGGUGCCUCCAUGCCUAAAGCGACGUUAUUAUCUCUAGACUCAGGGACUUUAAAAUGUCUGUUUUAUGCAUCUUCUAUUUUGUAGCUUGGUUUUAAUGCAGACAUACGUCUUUGCUUCUUGAUGUUGCACGUGGAGGUACCCUCACUCAUUGGUGGACCUGCCUGGCCUCGGCAUGUUUGCAAAUGUUGAAGCCUAAAAGACAUUUUCCCCACAGAAACCACAAGGUAAAUGUAACAAGUAAUCAAUCUUCUAAACAGCAGUCAGGAAACCUCUUAAUGAACAUCCUACACAAACACAAUAGUUAAUCUAAGCUAUGCCCUGAAUAGCAAUUAAUAUAAUCGGCUUCAAAUGUACUCAUUUUUUGACUGUCACAGUUAGGCUGUUAUACGCAGUAUAAACAUAUUGGUUUGAUUUGAAGACUACUAAUUUCAGUAGGGAAAGGCAACACAAACGCUUUACGCAGAUCAGGUUGGUUGUUCUUAUGUGUUCAGACUAAAGCAAAACACAGUGUCAAAGUAGAACAAAAAGGCUAUGUGCACUCAGAAAUUUUUUAAAAAACAAACAAACCCACCAAACCAAAUACAAAACACCCAGCAAACCCAGUCCUCCUUCCACAAAGCCUCACACAAGCAAUAGCGGUCUGCAAACAUUAAGUGUCAGAGAAAAAUAUAUGUUUGGGCACAGGUUCAAUUUAGGCAGUAUAAACUUAGCUCUCCUGGACGUGUUAUUCUGAGAACCACAAGCUGAUCCUCAGCCACCAUAAAUCAGCUUAGUGACACCUUACUCCUUUAGUCCAGUUGAAGAAAGAGAACGCAAUUUUUUUGAGACAGUAGUUAUCUUCGUUCUUUCAAUUGGUAAGUUAAAAAUUUUACAAAGUGAGUGAAUUUUGAAACUUUUACUCACCUCACAUUCAUGUUGGGCACUAAAAGCAGGCAGGAACAUUUUACUCCCCCAUGGGCAGGUUGGAGACACCUGUGCACAGUAACAUUUAUAUGGUGGCACUGCAGAGGUGUUUUUACAUAGUAGCAAAAGCAUUUUCCCUAAGGGUUAAAAUAUUGUGCCUAUCUUCCACACACUUCUAACAAAAAAUUUCUUUUAUACACCUUUUAUUUUUACAAAUCCUAACUAGUUAAGUUAAUGUUGGAAACGCCUAAAGAUAUGUGCCCAAAAACAAGCUUCUCCUAGGACAAACACAGGUGACUUACCGAUUUUCAGUACUAGAUCUAUAGAUGGAUGGGAUUGACUU
This is a long non-coding RNA of Apus apus (common swift), 1845 nucleotides long. RefSeq lists it as uncharacterized. The transcript is spliced from 3 exons. Lineage: Eukaryota; Metazoa; Chordata; Aves; Apodiformes; Apodidae. The record is from RefSeq and is a predicted model, not a curated record.